Molecule: ribosomal RNA, 301 nt
Filed under: uncultured bacterium
Lineage: Bacteria
Description: partial 16S ribosomal RNA
Rfam family: Bacterial small subunit ribosomal RNA
Source: RNAcentral
CAGUCGCCACGGUAAAACGUAGGGCGCAAGCGUUAUCCGGAAUUAUUGGGCGUAAAGAGCUCGUAGGCGGUUUGUCGCGUCUGCCGUGAAAGUCCGGGGCUCAACCCCGGAUCUGCGGUGGGUACGGGCAGACUAGAGUGAUGUAGGGGAGACUGGAAUUCCUGGUGUAGCGGUGAAAUGCGCAGAUAUCAGGAGGAACACCGAUGGCGAAGGCAGGUCUCUGGGCAUUAACUGACGCUGAGGAGCGAAAGCAUGGGGAGCGAACAGGAUUAGAUACCCCUGUAGUCCCUGUCUCUUAUAA